Molecule: small nucleolar RNA, 215 nt
Organism: Salarias fasciatus (jewelled blenny)
Lineage: Eukaryota; Metazoa; Chordata; Actinopteri; Blenniiformes; Blenniidae
Gene: SNORA73
Rfam family: Small nucleolar RNA SNORA73 family
About the family: U17 (SNORA73A and SNORA73B) also known as E1 belongs to the H/ACA class of small nucleolar RNAs (snoRNAs). Vertebrate U17 is intron-encoded and ranges in length from 200-230 nucleotides, longer than most snoRNAs.
Source: Ensembl
CCGACGUGGACAUCCAGAAAGUUCCUGGCUCUGUCCUGGUGGCGUAUGGGAGCGUAGCCGCAAGGCCGAGACGUACAGUCCCGUUCCACGAUGUCGGAGACUAAGCUCUGUCCCCGGCGUCUCGCCGGCGAGGACGAGCGUCCUGCAUAUUCCUACAACUUCCCAGAGUCCCUGUGGGGCCGUGACUGGGGAGCCAAACCAUGCAGUGCACAUCG